CCUACGGGUGGCAGCAGUGAGGAAUAUUGGUCAAUGGGCGCGAGCCUGAACCAGCCAAGUAGCGUGAAGGAUGAAUGCCCUACGGGUUGUAACCUUCUUUUAUAAAGGAAUAAAGUGAGGCACGUGUGCCUUUUUGUAUGUACUUUAUGAAUAAGGAUCGGCUAACUCCGUGUCAGCAGCCGCGGUAAUACGGAGGAUCCGAGAGUUAGCCGGAUUUUUUGGGAUUAAAGGGAUCGUAGAUGGGUUGUUAAGUCAGUUGUGUAAGGUGGCGGCUCAACCGUAAAAAUGCCAUUGAUACUGGCAGUCUUGAUUACAGUGGAGGAAGGCGGAAUUCGGGGU
Molecule: ribosomal RNA, 339 nt
Filed under: uncultured bacterium
Lineage: Bacteria
Description: partial 16S ribosomal RNA
Rfam family: Bacterial small subunit ribosomal RNA
Source: RNAcentral